This 68-nucleotide transfer RNA is filed under the name Ictidomys tridecemlineatus (thirteen-lined ground squirrel). Its description in RNAcentral is "Spermophilus tridecemlineatus (thirteen-lined ground squirrel) tRNA". It matches the Rfam family "tRNA". From Rfam's summary of the family: Transfer RNA (tRNA) molecules are approximately 80 nucleotides in length. Their secondary structure includes four short double-helical elements and three loops (D, anti-codon, and T loops). The record is from Rfam by way of RNAcentral. Lineage: Eukaryota; Metazoa; Chordata; Mammalia; Rodentia; Sciuridae.
GGGAACCUAACUCAGUGGUAGAGCAUUUGCCUUAUAUCCAUGAGGUCCUGGGUUCAAUCCCCAGCCCU